CACGGGUGAGUAACGCGUAUGCAACCUGUCCGUUACAGGGGGAUAGCCCAUGGAAACGUGGAUUAACACUCCAUAAUAUAAUAUAGAGGCAUCUUUGUAUUAUUAAAUAUUCAUAGGUAACGGUUGGGCAUGCGUCCUAUUAGAUAGUUGGGGGGGUAACGGCCCACCAAGUCGAUGAUAGGUAGGGGUUCUGAGAGGAAGGUCCCCCACACUGGUACUGAGACACGGACCAGACUCCUACGGGAGGCAGCAGUGAGGAAUAUUGGUCAAUGGGCGAGAGCCUGAACCAGCCAAGUCGCGUGAGGGAUGACUGCCCUAUGGGUUGUAAACCUCUUUUGUAUGGGGGGAAUAAGCUUUACGAGUAGAGUGAUGACAGUACCAUACGAAUAAGCAUCGGCUAACUCCGUGCCAGCAGCCGCGGUAAUACGGAGGAUGCGAGCGUUAUCCGGAUUUAUUGGGUUUAAAGGGUGCGUAGGCGGCAUUAUAAGUUAGUGGUAAAAUAUUGGGGCUUCACCUCACUACGCCAUUAAUACUGUAGAGCUAGAGAACAGACGAGGUAGGCGGAAUAAGUUAAGUAGCGGUGAAAUGCAUAGAUAUAACUUAGAACACCGAUAGCGAAGGCAGCUUACCAGACUGAGUCUGACGCUGAUGCACGAGAGCAUGGGUAGCGAACAGGAUUAGAUACCCUGGUAGU
This 694-nucleotide ribosomal RNA is filed under the name uncultured bacterium. Its description in RNAcentral is "bacterial SSU rRNA". It matches the Rfam family "Bacterial small subunit ribosomal RNA", at positions 100 to 794 of the family's 1533-position model. The record is from RNAcentral.